AGUGAACGCUGGCGGUAGGCCUAACACGUGCAAGUCGAACGGCAGCACAGUAAGAGCUUGCUCUUACGGGUGGCGAGUGGCGGACGGGUGAGGAAUACAUCGGAAUCUACUUUUUCGUGGGGGAUAACGUAGGGAAACUUACGCUAAUACCGCAUACGACCUACGGGUGAAAGCAGGGGAUCUUCGGACCUUGCGCGAUUGAAUGAGCCGAUGUCGGAUUAGCUAGUUGGCGGGGUAAAGGCCCACCAAGGCGACGAUCCGUAGCUGGUCUGAGAGGAUGAUCAGCCACACUGGAACUGAGACACGGUCCAGACUCCUACGGGAGGCAGCAGUGGGGAAUAUUGGACAAUGGGCGCAAGCCUGAUCCAGCCAUACCGCGUGGGUGAAGAAGGCCUUCGGGUUGUAAAGCCCUUUUGUUGGGAAAGAAAAGCAGCAGGUUAAUACCCCGCUGUUCUGACGGUACCCAAAGAACAAGCACCGGCUAACUUCGUG
RNAcentral lists this ribosomal RNA (492 nucleotides) under uncultured bacterium. RNAcentral describes it as "partial 16S ribosomal RNA". It matches the Rfam family "Bacterial small subunit ribosomal RNA", at positions 29 to 507 of the family's 1533-position model. The record is from RNAcentral.